AACGAACGCUGGCGGCAUGCCUAACACAUGCAAGUCGAACGAAGCCUUCGGGCUUAGUGGCGCACGGGUGCGUAACGCGUGGGAAUCUGCCCUUAGGUGCGGAAUAACUCAGGGAAACUUGAGCUAAUACCGCAUAAUGACUCCGGUCCAAAGAUUUAUCGCCUAAGGAUGAGCCCGCGUCGGAUUAGCUAGUUGGUGAGGUAAAAGCUCACCAAGGCGACGAUCCGUAGCUGGUCUGAGAGGAUGAUCAGCCACACUGGGACUGAGACACGGCCCAGACUCCUACGGGAGGCAGCAGUGGGGAAUAUUGGACAAUGGGCGAAAGCCUGAUCCAGCAAUGCCGCGUGAGUGAUGAAGGCCUUAGGGUUGUAAAGCUCUUUUACCCGGGAUGAUAAUGACAGUACCGGGAGAAUAAGCCCCGGCUAACUCCGUGCCAGCAGCCGCCGUAA
Molecule: ribosomal RNA, 449 nt
Filed under: uncultured bacterium
Lineage: Bacteria
Description: partial 16S ribosomal RNA
Rfam family: Bacterial small subunit ribosomal RNA
Source: RNAcentral